RNAcentral lists this ribosomal RNA (903 nucleotides) under Triticum aestivum (bread wheat). RNAcentral's name for it is "partial small subunit ribosomal RNA". Lineage: Eukaryota; Viridiplantae; Streptophyta; Magnoliopsida; Poales; Poaceae. The record is from RNAcentral.
AUGCCACACUUAUUUGUCAAACCAUAUGCUAUGCUUGAUGACAACACUUGUUGGGUGAAUAACCUCUUGAAUGCUUGGUUUUGCUCUUACGCCAACCACAUUUGUUUUUCCAAGUGCUUGUUAUCUUUGCUCCUUUUGAAGGAAUUACAAGAUGGUACGACAUCGGAGAGAGCCCAUUUGGAACUACAAGAUGAUGAAUGCUUGGUGAUCGUCCACUACUACACGGCAACAUCAUCUCUUUCCCAUGGUGAUUUGGAUUUCGAUCCGAGGUCGGAUCUUUCCCAAGGGGGAGGGGAUGAUGUGGAGCAUCCUAUGGACAUCACCAUGUCAAGAGUCCAUUUGGCAAGUGACACGUGCCACAUCUACUUCAUACAUACAAAGGUGAAUCAUCUCCUUUACACGUGUCCACUUGUACCUCUCGAGGAUGGUAUACUACCUGACCCCUCUCUCGUAUGCAUACAUAGGUGUGAGCGGAGCUACACAUUCAUCGAGGAGUCCAAUAAGAAGAGAACAUCUACGCCAUCCAAGAGGGAAGCCUGGAAGCGGAGAAGGAAGCGCCAAGAAGAAGUCAGCAGCUCCCAGGCAAAACCGUGCACACGGGCCCCUCCGACCCCGUGCCCACGGGCCUCCCAGGCUGGCGGUCCUGAAGCCCCUAUGUGCACAGGCGUGUACUGUGCCCACGGGACCCCCGCGUCCACGGGCCCAACGGACCCCGUGCGCACGGGCCCUUGUGUCCGGUCUAUGGAUACCCAGUGCGCACGGGCUCCACUUACCCUGUGCACACGGGGCCCCCUAUGUGUUGCUGCAGGCUUUGCCCAUGAAAUCCCCAUUUCACCCCUGCUUACCCCUUCAUCCCUUGGACCUAUAUAUACUCCUUCAUCUCCUCCAUUUAUACUUAGCUAA